CUUAACGUAUUGUGAGCGCUGCUCCUAUAUGUCACCUCAUUUGGUCCUAAAUGUUUAUUUAUUUCUAAACAUAACAACACCUAACCCUUAAUAGGAAAACACAACCCCACCUUGUGAAGAGGAGAUCCACCCUGAAAAGCCACCAGCUGAAAUCCUUAGGACUUCACAUUCUACAACCCAGAAGUGGCAAAAUCUACAGUUAAAGAUGUGAGCUCCCAGGUUCCUGCUCUUGCUGUCACAUCUGUCUCUUGCUGACAUGCCUCCCACCAAGAUGGUACCAUAAGCCCAAAUAAACUCUACGUUCCAUAACGUCUUUUGGCUGCGGUACCUUACAGCAGCAUAGAACCACUUAAUUCCAUCGUCCAUCAUUGGGAUUAAAGGAUAAAACCCUGCAGCUGAAGACACCACACACCUUGCAGCAAGACACAGAGAAAACAAGCGAGAACAGAGCUGGAAACUUCCUCCCUGCUGUGUAGCUUGCAAAGUUCCUCAAGCUGCCAUGCAGGACGCUGCAGGAGAAAAAUGCACCAAGUCUCACCCAUAUGUGAGCCCCAGGAACCAAAAGCAAGCAAACCUUCUGGGCAAGAGGUUCCCACCCGUGUAACAGAGGCACAGCGCUGUGGAGCCAACCAAGUGCUCUCAGCCUGGACCAGGUUCCAAGGGGAAGCUCCAAUUCCAGACCGGACAAUCCCAGUUAACCCAGUAAUCACAAAACCAAGCAAACGUGAAUGUGGGGCAGGGACAGGGACAGGGACAGGGAGGUGAGAGCAGUCGGUACAGCAGGCACCUGUGUGAGAUUGUCAGAUAACAAAUGUAACCAAUAAAAAAGAGACAAUUUAUACCA
Molecule: long non-coding RNA, 844 nt
Organism: Mesocricetus auratus (golden hamster)
Lineage: Eukaryota; Metazoa; Chordata; Mammalia; Rodentia; Cricetidae
Exons: 2
Source: RefSeq, a predicted model, not a curated record